Xyrauchen texanus (razorback sucker) is the source of this 339-nucleotide long non-coding RNA. RefSeq lists it as uncharacterized. The record is from RefSeq and is a predicted model, not a curated record. NCBI's taxonomy places the organism in Eukaryota, Metazoa, Chordata, Actinopteri, Cypriniformes, Catostomidae. The transcript has 3 exons.
CCUGAAUUGCAGAAUCAUCGGUUUGCAGAGAAGCUGGAAACUCUUCUGCACAGAGCGUAUCAUCUGCAGGAGGACUUCGGCAGCACCAUACCACCUGACAGUCUGCUCGCUGACCUGGAGAGUGAAGGGACGUUGAUUCUGCCUCCCCUUGGAAGCUCUCAUCCAAUCCAAGAUGAUGAUGCCACGACAGUCAAGUCAGACGACUCCUUUUUCUCUGCAGCUGAGUUGUUUGAUACAUAUUCUUCAGAUGACACGUUUCAUCACCUGAAGCCUGCAGCUCUGUAUGAAGAGGCUCUGAGUUUAGUUAGAGAUGGAGGUGUGGCCUGCAGGUCACUGAGG